This 3854-nucleotide long non-coding RNA is filed under the name Lathyrus oleraceus (garden pea). RNAcentral describes it as "Pisum sativum (pea) long non-coding RNA (PSAT_LNC037641)". Lineage: Eukaryota; Viridiplantae; Streptophyta; Magnoliopsida; Fabales; Fabaceae. The record is from RNAcentral.
UAUAUAAAAAAAUCAAAUCCAAUCUUCAUUAUUACAUUUUACGUAGGACAUGAAUACAUCCAUAUUUAUUAGCUUAGUAACAAAGAAAUAAAUCAUAUCAAAUCAGAUCAAUUCACAUAUAAACCUCCCUAAUCCAAAAAAUCCGAUUUAAUUCUCGAUCUAAUGUUUACUCUAUAAAUAGGAUCUAAAAUUACAAUGAAAAUCAUCCAUAAUUUACAAAUUUACUAUCCUAAAGUUGUUGCUCUUCACAUCGAAGAACAACAACAACUAAACCCUAAUCUAAGCUUCAACCAUCUCUGCAACGAAAAAAAGAAAAGAAGGGGAGUUAGAAGGAAUUCGAGGUAGAAAGAGGAAAGAAAGAGAAAAGAGUUAAAAGAAGAGAAACUAUACCUUUGCUCAAACCAGGAAAAUCCUCAUCCCUAUAGGUUGGUCCUCUAUUCAUGUCUUGAUCUAUUGCAUGAUGCUUGGGUUUAAUUGUGUGUUUGAUGUGUGUUAGUCCCUGAACUAAGUAAUAACCUGUUUCAAAUGAAAAAAAACAUAACCAAAAUAAGUUUUUAAAUCAAUCCGUGUCCUGUUUCAACAUCAAGAAAAAUACCCCAUCCAUAACUAAAAUCUGUUUCAAAUUAAUCAAUAACUAAAAUCUGUUUCGAAUCAUAAACAUACUCUUCUUCAACUCAAAACCAUACCUUGUUUAAAAUUCAAACCACACCCAGUUUCAAUUUAAAUUAACACCCCUGUAAAAAAAAAUCUUUUUCAAAACACAAAUCAAGUUUAACACUAAUUUUUGUAGAACCAAUACACAAUUUCACAUCCAAAUAUUACCCCGGUAGAAAAAAUUUCAAAACCGAAUUGAAACUAAUAGUAUCCUUUCAACUAAAAAGAACUAUACUCUAUUUCAAUCAAAAACCAAUUUAGAGUCAAAAUAAUCCCCCCCCCCCCNCCCCCCCCCCGAGCCAAAUCAAAAAACGAAACAGAACUGAAUAAAAAAAACAAAAUCAAAACUGACACGAGCUUCACAAUUGCAUCGUCGGCUUCCGUAGAUACCUCAUCCACAUCUGCACACCCCUAUCCCUCAUGAGUCUGCCGACCCUCCAUCAUGCUACCAUGAUUGCGCCGCUUCGUCACGAUUACGCCGACCAUCGCUCUGCCGUGAACACCACCCUUUCUAGCCUCUUUCAAUUUUGUGAGUGCUCGCCUUGUGGAUUUGAGCUCAUUGUUGUUUGGAUUUGUGUUGUUGAGAUUGAUCCAAGUGAAGUGUUAUAUUCAUUUUUGUAAGUGCAACUUUCCGAUAGAUGUAUUUUGUAUGAUGUCAAAACUAGGAUACUUUAGCAUUUAUGUAUAUUGGAUGUAUCCUCUAAGUCUAAAUGUGCAUCUUAGUAUCAGGAAACAUAACAACAUGUUAGAAAAGGUUUAAGAAAGGUUUCGUGCAUCAAAAACUGGUUUUUAUGUGAAAAACAGUCUAUGUGUCGACACAUCGUGCUAUAGGUCGACAAAUAGAAGAUUUUUUUUCUACAGGUCGACAUAUACGAGCUUCAGGUCGACACAUGUAACUCAUAUUUAAAGCCUACAACUUCUUUUUUGUGUGCCGCCUCUACAUGUCGACAUAUGCAUCGUAUGUGCCGACACAUGACUUACAUGGUGUCUUAUAACAAAAAUAAAAAUCCUUUUGACAAUCACCUUAAUAAAAAUAACAUAAAUAAAAAUAUCAUUUAAUGAAUAAUUUACAUUUUCUUCAGAUGCAAAUGUAACUUUAUAUUCAUCCAUGGUGUCUUUUAUAUUAAAAAAGUAUAAAAAACACUUGAGAAAAAUAGAGAUAUUAGAAGGAAAAAAAAUCACAAAAUAGUAAAAAUUUAGCAAGAUCAAUAACACACAAAUUCUGUCAUCAUCCUUUUGGUUACUUCUAUGACCAAUAAACUUAAAAAACUUUAGAGAGGUUCAAGAAAAAUAAUAUAAGAAUUAGAGUAAAUAUUUUAAUGUCAUAAAAUUCUCAGUAUAAAAAAUAUCAGUAACAUUAAAACCAAAACUUAAAUUCAAAACCCUAUUCAAGUCAAAUAAUAACACACAACUCAUUAUAAACUUCAUUCUCUUCCUAAAUACAUAUAGAAUUUCAUUAUAUAACAAAAAGAAAAACAUAAGAAGAAAAUGUUACCUUUUGGAAAUGUUAAUUUUUGGGUAUGCCUUCGUUCGAUCUGGGUAGAUCUAUAACCUGCAAAUAUAAAAGAAGUGGAAAAAGAUAUUAAAAAUAAGGCGAUGUUGAUUCAACAGAUCUGGAAGUGGAUAUGGAAAAUGAUGCAAAUCCGAGCAUUUUGAUUUCCGUUGAAGAGAGAAGGAUGUGAAAUGAUGCAGAUCUGAAAAAAAUGAAAGAACCUGAGGAAAAGUUUAAAUUUUUAAUAAAAUAUGAAAGAUUAGAGAGAUGGAGAAAUUAUGACACUUGGAUUCUUGGCAUUUAUUCUUGCAGUUGAAUCAACAAAUUUGGAAGCAGAUUUUUUUGAAGAAGUCAAAUCUGAAAGAUGAAGUGAGUGUUUUCACGACUUCUAAUGUUGUGAGAAAGAGAGAGGCAUGUUUGAGUGAUGAUAGGGGGAUGAAGCAUAAUAUCUGAGACAAAAGUGUUGUUUGUGUUAUGGUGAAUCAAAAUCUCCUUUUUAAUAGGGGAGAAAGGGUGAUGGCGGCGACUACAGAGGUUUUAAGGUUUGAGGGGGAAAAUGAGAAAAGAAAGAAGACGAAAGAGAGAGAAAAUUGUAAUGUGUGAGAAAUGAUUAAACACAAUGUAUCAGAGGCUUAUGUAUUUGUUUUGGAAUGUAAAGAGUUUUACUGGGAAGAAGAUGAAAAUAAAUAGAGUGUGAAAAGAAGAAAAAAAGGUGUUGUCUUAAGAUACGAAUGGGGUGAGUAAACAAAAAUGUUCAGCAAUUCCGAAUACAAAUAUUCCGUUAAAUAAUGAAUAUUACUGUUGUAUAAUGAAAUCAAUACAGUAAAUAAUAACGAAAGAAUUAGAGAAUUAUAACAAAAAAUGAAACAAUAAUUAAAUAGGAUAUUAAGAUGAAAUGACCAUAAGAAUAUGCAAAGAACAUUUUAAUUAAUUAUUAGCGGGAUAAAUUAGUAAAUUUGGUAGUAGUUUAUUUUCUAAAGUAGAUUAUAAUUUUUUUUCCACACAACUUGGGUAAUGCAACAACAUAUGAAGUCCAAAUUUUAGCUCAAACCAAUAAGGGUUAUUAGUUUUAGGCUUAAUGCAUCGUUUAGUCCCUUAACUUAAUAAGAAGUUUCGUUUUGAUCCCCUAACUAAAAAAUGUUACAUAGUGGCCCAUUAACUUCACUUCCGCUAAACUAUUUGAUCCUUUCAGUUAGUUUCAAUUGGAAAAAUGUUAAAAGAUAUCGUAUUGGACUAUUUACAUCUGAUGUGGAAUUUAUUUAUUUUAAUAUUGAUGUAAGAGGGGAGCCGACUCUCUUCCCUAUUCUUCACGUGUUACUCUACCCUCUCUCAUAAAAACCAACGCCUUCUUCUAUCCGUUUCCUGCCAGGUGCUCAACAACACCCCCCACCUCAACUAACUCCAUUUUUAUCUUUCUUCUUCCACUCACCUGAUAUAACUACUAAACACCACUGAUCCACUAAAAAACUCCAUCCAACAUAUUACCACCCUUGCUUCUUCUUUUCACAAAAAUCAUCUUCAUACGAAAUCCAACCACCAUUGUACCACUUUAUCACCUUACAACGCUAUACCACAAUCCAGCCACCACCAUCCCACAUACGAAAUCCGGCCAUCACUUUGUCACCUUACAACACCUGCCUCAUCGUCAGUGGCAUUCCGGCCACCACUAUCCCACAUACGAAAUCCUCCCUCCACCAUAGUUUCAACC